This is a non-coding RNA of Pelobates cultripes (western spadefoot toad), 1560 nucleotides long. The record is from the annotation of a GenBank genome assembly. Lineage: Eukaryota; Metazoa; Chordata; Amphibia; Anura; Pelobatidae.
CAACAUUUCAGCUUCCACCUUGUUCCAAAUUUUAGCACAUCUUACUGAAGUACUAAGCUCAUAAUCACCAAUUCAUUUCAAACCAUAUAACUCAUACUCAGCAUCCCAUGUAAUAUUAGUCAUCUCAUAAAACAAUAUCUUUGUAAAAACACAUAAUGGGUACCCAGCAGAUAUGCCAAUACAGAAAUCACAUUUAUGGGCACACAACUACACACUCUGUCUCCCUCCUAGGAAACACAGAUAGACACAAUAUAAAAGCAAUCUUAAACUAACACCUCCAAAUCUCCAACUAUUCUUGGCCAAAACGCUAGUAUUCAACAACUAAUAAAACAGUUAUUUGCUAGGUUAUUUGGCUGUCAUUCUUAUCAGUAUCACUAGACUGUGACAAACUGAUUCACAUAUAAUUUAAAACAAUACAGCAACAUAUAAAUUAAACCACUUUCAAGUUAAACUGCACACUUAUCACACAUUAUCACAAUCACCAUUUACACAGAAUAAACAGUUAACAGCUGUAUUCAGAACAUAUUAUUGGAAAGUAUACCAAUUUUAGUUUAGAUUUAUUUUAGGGAUUCUUAUGUGUACAUUUUCUUAAUUAACUUCAUUACUUUAAUCUACUAUAGUAUUGUAUUUAAAGAAAGGAUCCAUUUAUAUAGCGCGCUCAUAACUCAACUAUUUGUAUAAAACUACCAUUAACUAAUCUGAGAUGAUGCUGCAUCAACUUAAAUCUUACAGAAAUUGAACAAACAUCUGGACCAGAUUAAACAGACAUGGUUUCACCUGAAUCUUUCAGAACUCUCAGAGACUUAAAAAUUUAUACUAUACCAUGUUUUAAAGGCAUGGCAAACCUUUAGACCGGUCAGUCUCCAAGAGCCCUUAGUAACACAGGUAAAAAACCUUUGUCCAUGAUGUCUGAUUCAGGCUAUAUACCACAAUUUAAAAGAACACAUAAUGUGAGACAUAGAAGACACAAGCAGUAGUUAUUACACUGGAUCAUUUAAAAGGAACCUGUUGCAAUAAAAAGGUUAGUUUACAGUGCAAAAUAAAGCAUGUGUUGGACCGCUGAAAAUGUAAAUGUUGCUCUGUUAUUUUCAAACAAAAAUCAUAUUUAGUAUGGAUCCUUUGCAACAAACACACAGGGCAGGGAAGAUGUGCUGAUUGGUGUUUCUAUACAAUUAAUCCCAUAUGGGGAAUUAACUUUCAAAUACUAAUGAAGUGACUUUUUGUCUCAGUUAUAAAAUAUACUGAGCUCAUCAUGCAAACAAUGUAACACAUUUACACUAUCCCACUCUCAUAAUAAGUGUAGUGGGCUUAUAGUAUUUUUAAAGCAACAAUCAUUCCAGGCACACAGUUCCCAUGUGAAAUAACUUACAAUAAAACAGAGUAAUAAACUUAUACUUCUAUGCGACAGAAAGAAUAAAGCAAAAAGAUUUAAGUAGGUCUAUCAGGUACAACCUGUGAGUCAUUUCUUUUCUAAUAUACAGUACUGCUAUCUUGCAGAAAGAUAAGUCCUGCGCUCACUCCCAUCACUACUGGACAGCAGCAAGGACUACAGUACACAUC